GGUAGUCCACGCCGUAAACGAUGUCUACUAGCCGUUGGGGCCUUUGAGGCUUUAGUGGCGCAGCUAACGCGAUAAGUAGACCGCCUGGGGAGUACGGUCGCAAGACUAAAACUCAAAUGAAUUGACGGGGGCCCGCACAAGCGGUGGAGCAUGUGGUUUAAUUCGAUGCAACGCGAAGAACCUUACCUACUCUUGACAUCCAGAGAACUUAGCAGAGAUGCUUUGGUGCCUUCGGGAACUCUGAGACAGGUGCUGCAUGGCUGUCGUCAGCUCGUGUUGUGAAAUGUUGGGUUAAGUCCCGCAACGAGCGCAACCCUUAUCCUUUGUUGCCAGCGAUUCGGUCGGGAACUCAAAGGAGACUGCCGGUGAUAAACCGGAGGAAGGUGGGGAUGACGUCAAGUCAUCAUGGCCCUUACGAGUAGGGCUACACACGUGCUACAAUGGCGCAUACAAAGAGAAGCGACCUCGCGAGAGCAAGCGGACCUCACAAAGUGCGUCGUAGUCCGGAUCGGAGUCUGCAACUCGACUCCGUGAAGUCGGAAUCGCUAGUAAUCGUGGAUCAGAAUGCCACGGUGAAUACGUUCCCGGGCCUUGUACACACCGCCCGUCACACCAUGGGAGUGGGUUGCAAAAGAAGUAGGUAGCUUAACCUUCGGGAGGGCGCUUACCACUUUGUGAUUCAUGACUGGGGUGAAGUCGUAACAAGGUAACC
RNAcentral lists this ribosomal RNA (712 nucleotides) under uncultured bacterium. RNAcentral describes it as "bacterial SSU rRNA". It matches the Rfam family "Bacterial small subunit ribosomal RNA", at positions 789 to 1501 of the family's 1533-position model. The record is from RNAcentral.